GACGAACGCUGGCGGCGUGCUUAACACAUGCAAGUCGAACGGUGAAGGGACUGGUUUUGCUGGUCCUGGAUGAGUGGCGAACGGGUGAGUAACACGUGAGUAACCUGCCCCCUUCUUCUGGAUAACCGCAUGAAAGUGUGGCUAAUACGGGAUAUUCUGGGUCUGUCGCAUGGUGGGCCUGGGAAAGAUUGCGCCUUUUUUGGUGUUUUUGGUGGGGGAUGGGCUCGCGGCCUAUCAGCUUGUUGGUGGGGUGAUGGCCUACCAAGGCGGUGACGGGUAGCCGGCCUGAGAGGGUGGACGGUCACACUGGGACUGAGACACGGCCCAGACUGCUACGGGAGGCAGCAGUGGGGAAUAUUGCACAAUGGGCGCAAGCCUGAUGCAGCGACGCCGCGUGAGGGAUGGAGGCCGUCGGGUUGUGAACCUCUUUCGCCAGUGAAGCAGGCCUGCCUCUUUUUGUGGGUGGGUUGACGGUAGCUGGAGAAGAAGCGCCGGCUAACUACGUG
Molecule: ribosomal RNA, 506 nt
Filed under: uncultured bacterium
Lineage: Bacteria
Description: partial 16S ribosomal RNA
Rfam family: Bacterial small subunit ribosomal RNA
Source: RNAcentral